This 860-nucleotide long non-coding RNA is filed under the name Aphidius gifuensis. RNAcentral's name for it is "uncharacterized LOC122857517, transcript variant X1". The record is from RNAcentral. Lineage: Eukaryota; Metazoa; Arthropoda; Insecta; Hymenoptera; Braconidae.
CGUCGUCGAAAAUGAUCUACUGGUGCUGGUGUGAGCCAAAUAAAACCAAGCUCAAGGUUAUGUGAGAUAUAUUUAUGAAAAUCCAUUAUGAUGAAUCUCAAUAUGAACAACAUCGUCAGGAUGGCUCAAAAAAAAUUAAAACCAAAUGCAGUACCAACUUUGUUUGGUGAUGUUUUGUUAGAUUAUUUGAGUAAAAUCCACCAAAAUAAAAGUAACUACAUGAUGUUAGUUGGACUUCAUUUGAAUCACUAAAGCAGUUGUCAACAAUAAACUUAGGUAAAUCUUUUUCCAGACCAUUGCUUGAUGUAAUUAUAGAUGAAUAUACCACUGACAACAAAAAGAGUUUAUUCAAGUUACCAAAGUCUAAUAAUACCAAAUCUUUACCAAGUGAUGAGCAGCAGAUUGAAUUGCCACUAGUAAACUUAGAUGAGGAUCAUUUAGUAUCAAUUUUUACUCAUAAUAUAUUUAUCCUGAUACUUUCAACAGUUUUUUAUCAAUUCUUGCUGAUGAAUUACAAGCAGAAAUAAUUAAAAAAUAUAAUAAAGGAGUUAUUAAAUUUAAUUUCAUGCUUCAAAAUCAACAUCGUCUUCAUCACCAUGAAAUUUCGAGUUUAAACUAGGAAGUAGAAAGCUUAAAGAAAAUAAAUAUUAGUUUAGACUGUGAAUUACGAGUUGAAUAAGAAAAAAGGAUACAGUCAGAAAGACAACGAGAAAAAAUUAAAAACAAGUUUAACAAGCUUCUUAAUGUAUUCGAAAAAUUGUCCAUUUUUAAAAAACCUUUUAAUUGAGUUAUUUUAUUUACUUAUUCAUAGUAUGCGACAGGCAAAAGCCUACUGAAGCCAGAAAAAUAUAUUUUGUUGU